GGGCUCGCACAAGUGGUGGAGCAUGCGGUUUAAUUCGAUGCUACGCGAAAAACCUUACCAACCCUUGACAUGGUAGUCGCGGAUCACAGAGAUGAGAUCCUUCAGUUCGGCUGGACUACACACAGGUGUUGCAUGGCUGUCGUCAGCUCGUGUCGUGAGAUGUUGGGUUAAGUCCCGCAACGAGCGAAACCCUCAUCCUUAUUUGCCAGCGGUUCGGCCGGGGACUAUAAGGAAACUGCCGGUGAUAAGCCGGAGGAAGGUGGGGAUGAUGUCAAGUCAUCAUGGCCCUUAUGGGUUGGGCUACACGCGUGCUACAAUGGUAUCUACAGAGGGAAGCAAUAUGGCGACAUGGAGCAAAUCCUCAAAAGUUAUCUCAGUUCGGAUUGUACUCUGUAACUCGAGUGCAUG
RNAcentral lists this ribosomal RNA (408 nucleotides) under uncultured bacterium. RNAcentral's name for it is "bacterial SSU rRNA". It matches the Rfam family "Bacterial small subunit ribosomal RNA", at positions 917 to 1322 of the family's 1533-position model. The record is from RNAcentral.